RNAcentral lists this transfer RNA (86 nucleotides) under Mycolicibacterium chitae. Its description in RNAcentral is "tRNA-Gly". Lineage: Bacteria; Bacillati; Actinomycetota; Actinomycetes; Mycobacteriales; Mycobacteriaceae. The record is from RNAcentral.
GGCGACCUGGACCAUCUCGUCGACGUCGCGUCGGCCUCCCACGCCGACGCGGUGAUCGCGGUGAUCGUCGACGCCGAGGGUGCCGC